RNAcentral lists this ribosomal RNA (634 nucleotides) under uncultured Bacteroides sp. RNAcentral's name for it is "bacterial SSU rRNA". It matches the Rfam family "Bacterial small subunit ribosomal RNA", at positions 85 to 715 of the family's 1533-position model. The record is from RNAcentral. Lineage: Bacteria; Pseudomonadati; Bacteroidota; Bacteroidia; Bacteroidales; Bacteroidaceae.
UUGCCGGCGACCGGCGCACGGGUGAGUAACGCGUAUCCCACCUUCCGCUUACUCGGGGAUAGCCUUUCGAAAGAAAGAUUACAUACCCGAUGGUAUCUUAAGCACGCAUGAGAUUAAGAUUAAAGAUUUAUCAGUAAGCGAUGGGGAUGCGUUCCAUUAGGCAGUUGGCGGGGUAACGGCCCACCAAACCUACGAUGGAUAGGGGUUCUGAGAGGAAGGUCCCCCACAUUGGAACUGAGACACGGUCCAAACUCCUACGGGAGGCAGCAGUGAGGAAUAUUGGUCAAUGGGCGAGAGCCUGAACCAGCCAAGUAGCGUGAAGGAUGACGGCCCUACGGGUUGUAAACUUCUUUUGUGCGGGAAUAAAGGAGCCUACGUGUAGGCUUUUGCAUGUACCGUAACGAAUAAGCAUCGGCUAACUCCGUGCCAGCAGCCGCGGUAAUACGGAGGAUCCGAGCGUUAUCCGGAUUUAUUGGGUUUAAAGGGAGCGUAGGCGGAUUGUUAAGUCAGUUGUGAAAGUUUGCGGCUCAACCGUAAAAUUGCAGUUGAUACUGGCAGUCUUGAGUGCAGUAGAGGUGGGCGGAAUUCGUGGUGUAGCGGUGAAAUGCUUAGGUAUCACGAAGAACUCCGAUUG